GAUGAACGCUGGCGGCGUGCCUAAUACAUGCAAGUCGAGCGAACGGACGAGAAGCUUGCUUCUCUGAUGUUAGCGGCGGACGGGUGAGUAACACGUGGAUAACCUACCUAUAAGACUGGGAUAACUUCGGGAAACCGGAGCUAAUACCGGAUAAUAUUUUGAACCGCAUGGUUCAAAAGUGAAAGACGGUCUUGCUGUCACUUAUAGAUGGAUCCGCGCUGCAUUAGCUAGUUGGUAAGGUAACGGCUUACCAAGGCAACGAUGCAUAGCCGACCUGAGAGGGUGAUCGGCCACACUGGAACUGAGACACGGUCCAGACUCCUACGGGAGGCAGCAGUAGGGAAUCUUCCGCAAUGGGCGAAAGCCUGACGGAGCAACGCCGCGUGAGUGAUGAAGGUCUUCGGAUCGUAAAACUCUGUUAUUAGGGAAGAACAUAUGUGUAAGUAACUGUGCACAUCUUGACGGUACCUAAUCAGAAAGCCACGGCUAACUACGUGCCAGCAGCCGCGGUAAUACGUAGGUGGCAAGCGUUAUCCGGAAUUAUUGGGCGUAAAGCGCGCGUAGGCGGUUUUUUAAGUCUGAUGUGAAAGCCCACGGCUCAACCGUGGAGGGUCAUUGGAAACUGGAAAACUUGAGUGCAGAAGAGGAAAGUGGAAUUCCAUGUGUAGCGGUGAAAUGCGCAGAGAUAUGGAGGAACACCAGUGGCGAAGGCGACUUUCUGGUCUGUAACUGACGCUGAUGUGCGAAAGCGUGGGGAUCAAACAGGAUUAGAUACCCUGGUAGUCCACGCCGUAAACGAUGAGUGCUAAGUGUUAGGGGGUUUCCGCCCCUUAGUGCUGCAGCUAACGCAUUAAGCACUCCGCCUGGGGAGUACGACCGCAAGGUUGAAACUCAAAGGAAUUGACGGGGACCCGCACAAGCGGUGGAGCAUGUGGUUUAAUUCGAAGCAACGCGAAGAACCUUACCAAAUCUUGACAUCCUUUGACAACUCUAGAGAUAGAGCCUUCCCCUUCGGGGGACAAAGUGACAGGUGGUGCAUGGUUGUCGUCAGCUCGUGUCGUGAGAUGUUGGGUUAAGUCCCGCAACGAGCGCAACCCUUAAACUUAGUUGCCAUCAUUAAGUUGGGCACUCUAAGUUGACUGCCGGUGACAAACCGGAGGAAGGUGGGGAUGACGUCAAAUCAUCAUGCCCCUUAUGAUUUGGGCUACACACGUGCUACAAUGGACAAUACAAAGGGCAGCGAAACCGCGAGGUCAAGCAAAUCCCAUAAAGUUGUUCUCAGUUCGGAUUGUAGUCUGCAACUCGACUACAUGAAGCUGGAAUCGCUAGUAAUCGUAGAUCAGCAUGCUACGGUGAAUACGUUCCCGGGUCU
RNAcentral lists this ribosomal RNA (1372 nucleotides) under uncultured bacterium. RNAcentral describes it as "bacterial SSU rRNA". It matches the Rfam family "Bacterial small subunit ribosomal RNA", at positions 28 to 1381 of the family's 1533-position model. The record is from RNAcentral.